This 274-nucleotide long non-coding RNA is filed under the name Pan troglodytes (chimpanzee). RNAcentral describes it as "long non-coding RNA NONPTRT000586". The record is from RNAcentral. Lineage: Eukaryota; Metazoa; Chordata; Mammalia; Primates; Hominidae.
CACUUGCAGUCCUAGCUACUCUGAAGGCUGAGAUGUGAGGAUCUCUUGAUGAGUUUCACAAGCCUCACUGUAGAAAGGAGUGCUAGUACCCCAUUUAUCUUCUUGCCAAAACAAAACUAAUUUGAAUUAAUCUCAUCUGUGACUUCUGUGGUAUGAUCUAAAGGGCACUAUCAGGAGUAAAAAAAUUUUCUCAGCAGUGCCAAAAACACAUCCAGUGGUAAAAUAUUAUUUCUGUAAAACACUGUCCUUUCCCUUGUCCAUUGAUCCUCAAAAA